RNAcentral lists this ribosomal RNA (388 nucleotides) under uncultured bacterium. Its description in RNAcentral is "bacterial SSU rRNA". It matches the Rfam family "Bacterial small subunit ribosomal RNA", at positions 28 to 417 of the family's 1533-position model. The record is from RNAcentral.
GACGAACGCUGGCGGCGUGCUUAACACAUGCAAGUCGAGCGGUAAGGCCCUUUCGGGGGUACACGAGCGGCGAACGGGUGAGUAACACGUGGGUGACCUGCCCUCGGCUCUGGGAUAAGCCUGGGAAACUGGGUCUAAUACUGGAUAUGACUCCACGGUGCAUGUCGUGGGGUGGAAAGCCUUGUGCGGCUGAGGAUGGGCCCGCGGCCUAUCAGCUUGUUGGUGGGGUGAUGGCCUACCAAGGCGACGACGGGUAGCCGGCCUGAGAGGGCGACCGGCCACACUGGGACUGAGACACGGCCCAGACUCCUACGGGAGGCAGCAGUGGGGAAUCUUGCGCAAUGGGCGAAAGCCUGACGCAGCGACGCCGCGUGAGGGAUGACGGCCU